Molecule: small nucleolar RNA, 215 nt
Organism: Suncus etruscus (white-toothed pygmy shrew)
Lineage: Eukaryota; Metazoa; Chordata; Mammalia; Eulipotyphla; Soricidae
Product: small nucleolar RNA U3
Exons: 1
Source: RefSeq, a predicted model, not a curated record
AAGACUAUACUUUCAGGGAUCAUUUCUAUAGUAUGUGACUAGAGAGAAGUUUCUCUGAUCAUGUAGAGCACCCAAAAACAUGAGGAGGACCCAGAGCAUCCUCUCCUAGCAUGAAGCCGGACCUAGGUGUUGCUUCUGCGACUACCUUUGGCCAUUGAUGAUUGUUCUCCCCUUCCUUUGGAAGGUGUAGAGGGAGAAGAUGCAGUCUGAGUGGU